CAGGUUUCUGAGGGAAGAGAGAAGAGUUUGUAGUGGGGCAAGAAACAGGACCAUGAGGAAAGAUGGUCAGAGUUGCUGGAGUUGAGGAAGAAGCAGCAGUAGCAGGUAAGUGAGGCAAUUCACUGCCAGAUUUAUUCCAGACCCUUCAAGUCUCCCUAUUUUCCAGGGACAGUCCCAGGUUUACACAAGCCAUCCUGGUUUCUGAUUUGAUCCUAAGAUGUCCCAUUUUCCCUUAGGAUGUCCCUAUUUUCAUUGGAAAAAUGUUGGAGGGUAUGGAAUAGGAUGCCCCUAUAUUCAUCAAAGAAAUGUUGGAAGGUAUGCUAUUCCACUGCCACUGUGGGGCAAUCAUGGGGCCCACAUCUGCUCUGGACCAGUCAGUAACUACAGGCACAUGCAGUGCUGAUGGAACUGUCCCCCGUUGCCACUACCACCUUGCUAAGAAUGAAUUUAUUUCCCCCUCCCUCAGUUGCCCCUCAAUAGCAGCAGAGUGUACCAGAGAAUCAUCACAUCAGCCACCGCAAAGGGGAGGAAAAGGUCUAGGAAAGGAGGUAGCAAAAGGCCCAGAGAAGGAGGAGACUUGGGCGAGGCAGGAUGGAGAAAAGAGAGAAACGCACGGAGGAGUCUGAAAGAGGGUCAUCACAACCAUCAGCUGACAACUUGCCAGGACUCAAGGCAGCGCUGUGUCAGUUAAGGAAUGUGUGCACUACCAACCAUGCAGCUCUGGACAAAGAAGGGAAUUGCGGGGAGACCGGUCACCCUGGUAGGAAGCCUCUUCUUACCAACCAGGCGGAAUGGAUCAAGUGGUGGUCAGAGAGUUUCACCAGAAGCUCCUAGGGCAGGUUUACCUGCAGCCCCAGCUUUUUAAAAUCAGAUGUGGGGAACCUUUGGUCUUCUAGAGGUUGCUGAACUUCAACUCCCAGAAAGCAUUGCCAGUGGCCAGGGAGGAUGUGAGCUGUAGUUCAGCAAUAUCAGGAGGUUCUCCACACCUGGGAUGAAUCUUCCCUCAUGGUUUUUAAUGUUAAGGAAGGGUUAGAGAAGGGUUUUGAUAAUGUAAAUGGACACAUGGCGCCCUACUUUUUAUGUUCAUGAUGCAUUAUUACCUUGUCUUUUUUAAUCCCCUUAUGCUGCUAAUUGGUGAAACAUGAAGGGGAGGAAGGAGGAAGGAAGAAUUAAAAUGUGAUACCAGUAGGUGGAGCAGAACAACCAGCGACCAACAGCAGGGAAAGAAACAGUGUUUUGGGAAAUAACGUGGGUGGGUAUUACUAACAUUUGACGGGGAAAAAACAAGGUAAAAAACAUUUUAGUUAACAAGUAUGCCCUGUGACAUUUUAAAAUGCCAUAUCUAAUAUUGUUCCAGUAAGGGAAAAUGACGUUAAAUGGGUCAGCGUAGAUCCAGCCCUGAUUUCAAUGGACUCAACGCUUCCUCUCGAUUGUGGAGAUGUUCUGGAAUGAUUGGGCUGAAUCCAGACUUAGCCAUACGGACGUAGAGCAGACCCACUGAAAC
Molecule: non-coding RNA, 1504 nt
Organism: Podarcis lilfordi (Lilford's wall lizard)
Lineage: Eukaryota; Metazoa; Chordata; Lepidosauria; Squamata; Lacertidae
Source: the annotation of a GenBank genome assembly